Molecule: long non-coding RNA, 1679 nt
Filed under: Triticum aestivum (bread wheat)
Lineage: Eukaryota; Viridiplantae; Streptophyta; Magnoliopsida; Poales; Poaceae
Description: long non-coding RNA (TAES_LNC011513)
Source: RNAcentral
GAAGAAGAGUUCGUAUAGUCAUACAUGUACAGGGAUUAUCUUCCAAAUCUGCUUGUUUGCAUAGACCCAAUUAGAUUUCCCGGAAGCUCGCACCCAGAUUUUGUUAUCCACAUCGGUUGAUCCUUGCAUACUACCCCUCACGGUUGAUGCGAUGAAUCUGAGACCUAGUAUGCAAUUACGAUGGGUGGAAUCAUUUAAAUUACUUGUUUCACAUAUGACGCAAAGUGCUAAAUAUCAAAACAUACGAGCAUCAUGCUUAUAUAAAACGACAAGUAAAUCACACGAGUACGUAGGACUGUAGGAGGUACCUAAAACAGCUAGUAAAUCACACAAGUAUCCUUUAAUGACACAGGAGGUGGUACCAUAACUACGACGUGAGAGUUAUGGUCAUCUUAAUUCACAUCGGAAAAAUGACCAAAUAUCUCUACUUCAGUGAAGAUGCAAUCCUACGUAUAAUCUAGAGUUAUGGUCACUGUCGUACAAUGGUGCAAUUAUGUACUCCACUAACUACCACUUCAUUAAUAGAGUUACAGUUUUUAUUCAGUAAAAUAUUAGUUGUACUAAAAAGGAGUAAUCAAUAAAACUAAAGAUUAAUCCCACUCCUAGCAGAGCUAAAAGAGAGUAAAUUCAGAAAUAUCAACUUAUAAUGCACAAUUUAUCACGGAUCCAUCCUAAAUGGCCAUCUAAUAAGCAACAUAUGUUUGCCCAAACUUUAUGUUGCAACGUCCCAAAUUGACAUUAUAUAGUACCAAUAAUGAGGGAUGAGAAAAUAAAGAAUGAAGUCAUGGAAAUACCUCAAGUAAAAUAAUCCAAAAUAUUAUUCUGUAUUCCUUCUCGAGAAACUGGCUUCUUCUUCAAUUAAAAAAAAAUCAUAUUUCUUAUUCAGUUGGAGCGUUCGCAAUAGUAGAACUUUCUUCAGGAUUAUUUGUAGAGAUGUGCGGACUUUCUUUAUCUACAGAUUAAUAGGCUGAAACACCAACACCAUGAUUUUCAGACCCUGCCAACUCUAUAAUUCUAUAAGAUCCAAUACCUGCUAGAUUGUUCCACAACACCAAUGUCCAAGUCAAUACCAUAUAUUAUCCACUGAAAUGUCUGAUUUAAUAUCAUAUGCAAAAACAUUAGAGCAAUGUGCUCUCCUUUACCCAUAUUGUGUACCACAGAACAUUAUGAACAUUAGGGGAGGAUUAGCCUGCAGCUAUUUUAGAUCGUGCACCAAAUACUUGUAGUUUUCCUAAAUUAGGGAGAAGAACAAGGUUGAAAUCCGCAAGAGUCGUAUAGAAAUUUCUGCAAUCAAUAUCAUACCUGAUCCAUGUCGGCAGCCUCUAAAUAAGCAACAUAAGUCCACAAUCCAUAAGUAUGUAGGCUACGCUCCAAUUUGAUGUAUCAUGCAAUUUUGCAAUACUCGGAUAGUUUUGUAAAGCAUACAGAUACUGCAUUGGAGGGCUAUAAGCUUCAAUAAUCUGAAAAUAUGUAGACCGCAGCUGAGAUCGUAACUUAGUAACACAACACAUGGUAUGAUAGCUAAAGGAGAGGCUAUCAAUUGUCAUUUUUUUGCACUGAUGUGCCAGUAGAAAAACACCAUUGAUUCGAUUUGAUGUGUGAAGUCACCUGUCGACUCGACUUGCCAUUGAUUCUGCGCCUAUUCCCUGGCUUCCUGAAAUAAAAUUUCCCAGCGUCGG